This 253-nucleotide ribosomal RNA is filed under the name uncultured bacterium. Its description in RNAcentral is "partial 16S ribosomal RNA". It matches the Rfam family "Bacterial small subunit ribosomal RNA", at positions 524 to 776 of the family's 1533-position model. The record is from RNAcentral.
UACGUAGGGUGCGAGCGUUAAUCGGAAUUACUGGGCGUAAAGCGUGCGCAGGCGGUUCGUUAAGUUCGAUGUGAAAGCCCCGGGCUCAACCUGGGAACUGCAUUGGAAACUGGCGAGCUUGAAUGCGGCAGAGGGGGGUGGAAUUCCGCGUGUAGCAGUGAAAUGCGUAGAUAUCUGGAGGAACACCGGUGGCGAAGGCGGCAUCCUGGACCAAUACUGACGCUGAGGAGCGAAAGCCAGGGGAGCAAACGGG